This 510-nucleotide ribosomal RNA is filed under the name uncultured bacterium. Its description in RNAcentral is "partial 16S ribosomal RNA". It matches the Rfam family "Bacterial small subunit ribosomal RNA", at positions 28 to 507 of the family's 1533-position model. The record is from RNAcentral.
GACGAACGCUGGCGGCGUGCUUAACACAUGCAAGUCGAACGAAGAGCGAUGGAAGCUUGCUUCUAUCAAUCUUAGUGGCGAACGGGUGAGUAACGCGUAAUCAACCUGCCCUUCAGAGGGGGACAACAGUUGGAAACGACUGCUAAUACCGCAUACGAUCUAAUCUCGGCAUCGAGGAUAGAUGAAAGGUGGCCUCUACAUGUAAGCUAUCACUGAAGGAGGGGAUUGCGUCUGAUUAGCUAGUUGGAGGGGUAACGGCCCACCAAGGCGAUGAUCAGUAGCCGGUCUGGGAGGAUGAACGGCCACAUUGGGACUGAGACACGGCCCAGACUCCUACGGGAGGCAGCAGUGGGGAAUCUUCCGCAAUGGACGAAAGUCUGACGGAGCAACGCCGCGUGGGUGAUGACGGCCUUCGGGUUGUAAAGCUCUGUUAAUCGGGACGAAAGGCCUUCUUGCGAAUAGUGAGAAGGAUUGACGGUACCGGAAUAGAAAGCCACGGCUAACUACGUG